RNAcentral lists this ribosomal RNA (460 nucleotides) under uncultured bacterium. RNAcentral describes it as "partial 16S ribosomal RNA". It matches the Rfam family "Bacterial small subunit ribosomal RNA", at positions 338 to 795 of the family's 1533-position model. The record is from RNAcentral.
CCUACGGGUGGCAGCAGUGAGGAAUAUUGGUCAAUGGACGAGAGUCUGAACCAGCCAAGUAGCGUGAAGGAUGACUGCCCUAUGGGUUGUAAACUUCUUUUAUAUGGGAAUAAAACGUUCCACGUGUGGGAUUUUGUAUGUACCAUAUGAAUAAGGAUCGGCUAACUCCGUGCCAGCAGCCGCGGUAAUACGGAGGACCGGAGGGUUAUCCGGAUUUAUUGGGUUUAAGGGGAGCGUAGGUGGAUUGUUAAGUCAGUUGUGAAAGUUUGCGGCUCAACCGUAAAAUUGCAGUUGAAACUGGCAGUCUUGAGUACAGUAGAGGUGGGCGGAAUUCGUGGUGUAGCGGUGAAAUGCUUAGAUAUCACGAAGAACUCCGAUUGCGAAGGCAGUUCACUGGACUGCAACUGACACUGAGGCUCGAAAGUGUGGGUAUCAAACAGGAUUAGAUACCCGAGUAGUC